RNAcentral lists this ribosomal RNA (405 nucleotides) under uncultured bacterium. RNAcentral's name for it is "bacterial SSU rRNA". It matches the Rfam family "Bacterial small subunit ribosomal RNA", at positions 356 to 773 of the family's 1533-position model. The record is from RNAcentral.
GGGGAAUAUUGCACAAUGGGCGAAAGCCUGAUGCAGCAACGCCGCGUGAGGGACGACGGCCUUCGGGUUGUAAACCUCUUUUAGCAGGGAAGAAGCGAAAGUGACGGUACCUGCAGAAAAAGCGCCGGCUAACUACGUGCCAGCAGCCGCGGUAAUACGUAGGGCGCAAGCGUUAUCCGGAAUCAUUGGGCGUAAAGAGCUCGUAGGCGGUUUGUCGCGUCUGCUGUGAAAACCCGAGGCUCAACCUCGGGCCUGCAGUGGGUACGGGCAGACUAGAGUGCGGUAGGGGAGAUUGGAAUUCCUGGUGUAGCGGUGGAAUGCGCAGAUAUCAGGAGGAACACCGAUGGCGAAGGCAGAUCUCUGGGCCGUAACUGACGCUGAGGAGCGAAAGGGUGGGGAGCAAAC